This 75-nucleotide transfer RNA is filed under the name Candidatus Wolfebacteria bacterium CG_4_10_14_0_8_um_filter_37_11. RNAcentral's name for it is "tRNA-Arg". It matches the Rfam family "tRNA". From Rfam's summary of the family: Transfer RNA (tRNA) molecules are approximately 80 nucleotides in length. Their secondary structure includes four short double-helical elements and three loops (D, anti-codon, and T loops). Lineage: Bacteria; Candidatus Wolfeibacteriota. The record is from RNAcentral.
GUCCCCGUAGUUCAACGGACAGAACACCUCCCUUCUAAGGAGGGGAUCGAGGUUCGAUUCCUCGCGGGGACACAA